Molecule: ribosomal RNA, 292 nt
Filed under: uncultured bacterium
Lineage: Bacteria
Also listed under: 1 other name
Description: partial 16S ribosomal RNA
Source: RNAcentral
GGACUACAGGGGUUUCUAAUCCUGUUUGCUCCCCUAGCUUUCGUGCCUCAGUGUCAGGUGUUGUCCAGGGACUCGCCUUCGCCACUGGUGUUCCUCUUGAUAUCUACGCAUUUCACUGCUACACCAAGAAUUCCAGUCCCCCCUCCAAACCUCCAGCCCGACAGUAUUCAAUGCCAUUUCAGGGUUAAGCCCUGAGCUUUCACAUCAAACUUUUCAGGCCACCUACGCACCCUUUACGCCCAGUGAAUCCGAACAACGCUCGGGACCUCUGUAUUACCGCGGCGGCUGGCAC